This 253-nucleotide ribosomal RNA is filed under the name uncultured bacterium. RNAcentral describes it as "partial 16S ribosomal RNA". It matches the Rfam family "Bacterial small subunit ribosomal RNA", at positions 524 to 776 of the family's 1533-position model. RNAcentral also lists the same sequence under 1 other name. The record is from RNAcentral.
UACGUAGGGUGCAAGCGUUAAUCGGAAUUACUGGGCGUAAAGCGUGCGCAGGCGGUAAUGUAAGACAGAUGUGAAAUCCCCGGGCUCAACCUGGGAACUGCAUUUGUGACUGCAUUGCUGGAGUGCGGCAGAGGGGGAUGGAAUUCCGCGUGUAGCAGUGAAAUGCGUAGAUAUGCGGAGGAACACCGAUGGCGAAGGCAAUCCCCUGGGCCUGCACUGACGCUCAUGCACGAAAGCGUGGGGAGCAAACAGG